UUUUUUUUUAAUAAUUCAUAAAUAAAGUAAUACCUAUUUCAUCAUUACUCUCCUUGAACCUCCUAUAUGCCUCUACUAUAUGUUCUGUUCAAGUCAAAAGACAUAUGCACCACUUCCUGCUAGUUGUAGUACACUUUCAAAAUCAUACAUUAAAGAAGAUGAGUUAGGAAGAAAAAACUUAUAAAAAAGAAUGUAGAUGUGUGCAGCAAUUAUCAGUUUACCAUUGUGGGCAAUUUGGAUUUCAUUGCCGUGGAUCUAUGAUGUUAUAGAAACAAGUGUAAGAAUUUGGUAGAAAGUAUUACUUACUCAAGUAUUCAUGGAGUAAUUUGGUACUGAAACUUUUAUGAAACUGGUGAAGAAUUACUGUAGAUUUUAUUGUGAGGAGAACCUUUGAUAAUGUUGAAGAUGCCGUGUCUUUAAAAGUCAACUGAGGAGCAGUAAAAUUUGGUGUAAUUGAGAAACAGUUGCCUAGUGCAUUACAAGAUCAGAUGUGCUAUUUUGCAGAAAUUGAUGUGAAGACAAGAGAAAAAAAAAAGAGGAAAAAAAGACAAGAGAAUCACUAUAUGGCUCAUUACAAGUAAAUUUGAUUCUGUUCAAACAACCCUGACUACAGAGACAUUUGAAUCAGCAAAAUGAGAGUCUUAGGAAAGGACUGGUAUAUCUCUGUCUUGCUGGACUGUCCUAGCUCUUCAUCCCUGUAGUAGUAAUCAGUUGAAAAGCCUCAUUCAUAUUUAACAUCUUCUUAUUACAGAUGAUAUUUGUGCUAAAAAUCUGAAAGUCCUAUUUCUAAAGCAGAAGCAGAAUAAGGCGUGAUAUCCUUAUCCUACCAAGCAAAAAAAAAAAGCACCCUGUGAGCAAAUCCUUACAUGAUAUUCUACUGUAGCAAGAAGGAAAUUUAUGUAUAUUUUUUGUUCUGUCCAUCCCCCUAUUUUUUGCACAACACAAAGCUAUGUUGGUUUCACUCUAUUAUAAUGAUAAAAUCAGUGUUAGCUUUUAAUUUCACUCAUUCAAAAAAAAAAAAAUUUGAGUCGAGUAAAAUGUCAGGUUUUUUUCAAAUGGAAGCACGUUUUUCUCUCUCUGUUUAGGGGGCUAACUGUGCAAGAAAGUCCAUGGGAGGAGAUUCCUAACCUAGCUAUCAAAACCAAUACUGACAGGCUAUAACUUCUAAUCAAAGACUGACCUCACUGAGUGUGUAUAGGGCUCUAGGGAAAAUCUUGGGAACUAGAGACUGGUGAGACUGACUUCCAUCCCUUGAAAGAUGACAGUCUAUAAUAAACAAUAAAAUCAUACAGUACAUGAACUAUAUUUUCUGUUGGGCAGCACGGCUUCUGCAAAGGGAAAACCACCUCAAAAAUCCGCUGAAGUUUUAGCAGGGGAACUGUAAAUGCAUGGAUGAAAGGCAAGGAAUAUUAAAGACAAGAGACUAUUCAAGUCAAUAGGGAUUGGUUCUGGAAGCAAUUUUAUUCAACAUCUUUGUCCAUGACCUGGAGAAAAAAUAAGCAGAGGAAUAUUCAAGUCUGUAGAUAUGAUAACUAUUUUUCUGGGGCUGUUGACAGAUCUCAUAAAAGUGUACAAAUGGCUGACAAAUAAACUCCAAUGUGGAUAAACCUAAACUAAUGCAAGUAAGUAAAAAACCCAAUGAACCUGGAGAUUCAUAAAGCUGAACAUGAAACUGGCAGUUAUAGUUCAGGUAAGAAAUCUUGGUUUCAUGUUUUCAGAGUCUGAAAUCUUUGACUCAAUGUGCAGUGGCUGCUGAAAAAGCCAGUGAGAUUCUGGGCACAAUCAUGAAGAUAUGGAUAGCAAAAUAGGAUACAUAUUUUUGCAUCUAAAAGGUGUUGUGCACCCACAUCUUGAGCAGGUUUGGAUACUUUUCUGACUUACACACCCCAAGACAGAGCUACUGUAGUUAAAGAAGGUGAAAAAAAGCGCAAGUGUUGUGAUCAGGGUGAUGAUGUGGCUGCCUCUUGAGGGGAAAUUGAAAGAUGGACAAUUCAGAAAUCUGAGGUGUGGUACCAUAAAGAUUUUCUAAAGGUGAAAGCACUGGGUGAGCUGAAUGUCGAAAUGUUGUUCAACACAUCAUGCAAUAAAAGAAGCGAGGAAAUAAGGAAAGUAGAGUUGGGAGUUUUUAAACUGAAAAAAGUAAAACUUCUUUAUGCAGUAAGUGGUGAACCUCUGUAAUUUGCUACCACAGGAGAUUAUGUAGAAAGACAUUAUUGGUUUAGAAAGGGACUAGUUGUUCACAAACAGUAUGUCUGUAAAACAGAGACCAAUAGGAUGAGCUGUGGGACUACAAAACGAAUAGUUUUCAGAUAGAGAAUGGUUUUACUUGCUUGCCUUAAAUAGGAUCUCUGCUGGAGACUGAACACUGGGAGUGAUGAAAAAUUGGCCAUUUCUUAUUUUUCUUACUUUUACACAUCUGUGUACUAGUUUGAUAGUAGAUAUGAUGUCCAUGGUCUGUUCCAUGGCAGGCCCUACACCUGCCAGUUCUGAAAAAAAGCCAGUAAGCAAUGGCUGAUUAAGAUUUUACUCCAAGUUCAAUAGCUAUAGUGAAAAUUAGGGAAUGCAAAGCCAAGCUCAGCACCAUGCUAAAACAUCUGCUUAGUGAGGGCUAAUUGUGAUCACAUAGAAAAUAUUUCAUGGUUAUAUGCCCCUAAAAUAUUAUAACUCCAAGGACUUUCAAUCACCUGUGACGCUGAAUCAAAUCACCUGUUUCCACAAACACAUUAUUAUCCAAGGCAGGAGUAAGUUGAAGGAACUUGGUUUUCUGGGACUUUGGAAGCAGUUGAUGUGUUCCAUUCUGUCUGGGGAUAUAUUUUGUGAAACCUUAGCUCAUUAUUUAUCUUCUGGAUAUUUUAUACUCCAGGUGGGCCAGUGUCAUGAAUAUUUCAAAAGAGGCUUUAUUUAUCACUAUGAGCAUAAUAUAAGAAGAAAAAAAAUGGCAGUUCGCAGAGGCAGCUGCUUCUUCUGCUCCAAGAGUUUGGGAUGUAGAUGUCAUUUUUAUAAACCUAGUCAGCAAGGGCACUGGAGUCUAAAUGAUGCUGACGGAUGCUAUGAGAGUAGUUUGUCCUUUGUGAAGACGUUUUAUCAUAGCACUCAUAAUUGGAAGAGUAAGCAUAUAGAUCCAAAGCACAGAUCCACCGGGGAAGUCCUGAUCAUACUGUGAGAAAUGUCUUCUUUCUAAAAAGAGGGUAGAAGUUAUGACCUAUUUUUGGUGCCCAGCACACGACUGGGAGUGAGAAAUGGGUAAAAUUAUAACCUCAUCUAAGGCUUUGUGAGUCUUGGAAGGAGUGACCCACAUCUUUAUUCCAUUGCAGGUGUGGAAAAGAGCCUGACUGGGAUCUGCAGAGCAAUUGACACAGUACUUUAGGAUCUAUUAAAGAAAUGCUCUGAGCUUGUGCUAGCCAAUCUACAGGUAAAUUCAUUACCCUUUUCUUUAAGAGGAAACUUAAUUUUAGGCUGCUCUUAAAGAUUUAGACUGGUCACUGUGCUCCCUCUGUGCCUUGCAUCUGUCUCUCCAGUAAUGUAAGCCUCAUUCACCUGGUACAUAUACCAGCACCACACCUAAGGAAGGAGAAUACUGGAAAGCCUCUUGUGGUCCCCAGUCAUUAAAAGGUGUGUAUGAAAAUGCAUUUGUAAAAUUAUGGGUUCUACAUUUCUUCCCGAGAAGAUAGAAAAACAAAACCAAAACCAAAACAAAUCACCUUAAACAAAGGUAUAAAGGGCCAUUAAUAAAACAAUAUUUUAGCUUUGCCAUAGAACGUGGUGGCUUCUCUUAACAAAAAACAAAAAUAGUGUUGUGCAGGUAAAUAGCAAAAGGCAUUUUAUAUGAUAUUCCACAUGCAGCUUAUGAAUAUUUUUUUGGAAUGGCCUGAAAUGGAGAGAGUUUAAAAGGAAUUUAGGGGACUAUCUUGCUACGUGCUUCUGCUUUUCAUAGUUCAGAUUGGGAGGCACACCAGACUGUUAGGUAUGCUGAUUGGAUGAACCAGAGUUGUAUCAAGAAACACCUUCAGCUCCAGCAUAGCAUGUUGUUAAAUCUACAGUGAAGAUAAAGCUUUCUAUGCACACCACAAUGCUCAUCAAUAGACAGCACUAAUACUUACAGUAGAAGAUAUUUUUAAACUGGCCACGUUUUGAUGCCUCCUCUCUCAUAUUCAUUCCUCGGAACCUCAAUAAUGAUCUGUGAGAACUCCUUUAAAACCCACCAGGCAUAAGAUCAUUUGCAACAGAGUUCAUCAGCAAAAGUAUUCUGUCAUAAAUAGAUAACUUCUGAGUCCCAUUUUUGAUGUACGAUUUCUGAGAUUGCCUCAGCAUGCAAUGAUGAUAAACAUGCAAGAAAAAGAUGUCUGGUUGUAAGAAAAAAUUGGGUUAAUACUUUAACCCCUGAGAGGUCUGGGUUAUUUUAUUCAUGCCUUAGACACAUUAUAAUUUUUGUUAUGAUAGCGAUAUUCCAGAGUCAUUCAUUCAUCUGAAGACUUUUAGAUUUAUUCCAGUGAGAUCAAAAGGAAGACAAAUUAAACUGACAUCCAACAAAUAGCCUUGCAAAUAUGUAAAUCAAGAGAUAUGAAUCUGCAGUUAUUGAUAGGUACAAAUUACCAGUAAUUGGCCAGAAGAGGUAAGAGCUUUGUCCUGUUCCACUCACUCUUUCUCAAAAUUCAGAGGACAAAAUUCAAUUAAUCAAAAAACUUGAAAACUCCUAAGUACUCAUCAGUUUCUUUCAUUUAUUCUAAGCAUUAUUACAGACAAGUUUCAUUACUCACUUUGAUUUAAAAAAAAUUGCAUAUUACAACCAUUAAAUUUGUCUGAAAAUAAGUAAGAACAGUUAGCAUUAAAAAAUCUGGUUUAGACCACUUACCACCUCAGCUGUAUGGACUGGUAAGUUUUGAAUUUGAGUCAGAGAAGUGUUGCAAGUGAACCAGUUGAGGUUUGAUCAUGUGAUUAAGAAAAAAAAAAAAGAAAGAAAAAAAAAUACUC
RNAcentral lists this long non-coding RNA (4971 nucleotides) under Taeniopygia guttata (zebra finch). RNAcentral's name for it is "lncRNA (ENSTGUG00000028024.1)". Lineage: Eukaryota; Metazoa; Chordata; Aves; Passeriformes; Estrildidae. The record is from RNAcentral.